AUACAAGUAGCUGCCCUGAUUGUGUCUCUUCGGAGUCAAGACAUCACUGCCACGACAGAUCUCCAGGAACCACGAGGAGAAGAGGGGAAGAAUUCGGCUUAGCUGAGAGAGACAGCAUGGAUACUGGGGCCCCUUAAGACCCCCACCAUCACCCCUACCCUUUCCUGUCUCCGUUUGUCCCUCUCGAGCACUCUCGGCAGCGAUAACAGCCUCUCAUUACCAAGCUGCAGCCCCACAGAGACGUGGGAUCAGUAACUAGCACUCGUCAGCACAUCACAGAGUGGAGACGUGGGCGGUGCAUCUUAUCCAGCACAAAGACACGCAGACUGCCUCCAAAGACAUUUUUGAAGGUAUGAGUGGAAGGGAUUGGGAUGCAACAGCAAUGUCGGCCAAGAAGUGGAAGGCCACGUAAAACCUCAGUGCACAGAAACCUCCAAAAACUGUACGGCUUUCAGAUUAGUUCAAAAACAGCACAUACAGAGCUUAAUGGACUGGAUUUACAUGGCCCAGCAGGUGCUUUUAAGUCUUACAUCACCAAGUGAAAGGUAAAGCAAAUGCAGUAGACUGUGGGCCAAAUGUCUGUCAUAUUUCGGAUGGGGGUGUGCUCCAGCACACCCGAUUGAAAUGAAUUCCUUACCUCCUUAGCAUCAGGGCUGUAGAAACCUGGUUAUAGUUAAUUUACUUAAGUCAGGUGUGUGGCAGCAGGGGGCUGUGUCAAAUGUGCAGGUAGGUGGGUCUACACCAGUGGAGAUAUUUUCUCUAGGUUUGGCAUGUGCCAGGAGAAAAGGCCUUUUCUGACUGCAUUGACGGAUCUAAGAUUUGGUACAGAAGAGAUUGUGGUGUGGGCCUGUUUUUUCACACAUUUGGCUUUACAAUUUAAUUUCAGUCAAAGUAACUCUUGAUGCUUUACUAUGCCAAAUGUUUUGGACAAUUUCAUUCUCCCAAAUCUCCCAACUCUGUUGGAAGAGUUUGGGAUGGACCCUUUAAUGUCCCUACUUGUCUGUGCAAAGGUCCUGGAGUCUUGACUGACCUGGAUUGAGUAUUUCAACCUGAUAAAUCACUAUUUUGGUUGAAUCAGAGUGGAGACUGUGAGUGAAGCUUUGGAGGAGUUUAAGUAGAUUUGCUUAAAAGUGUGCUGCUUUGGUUUUAUAGUAUAUCUCUUUUGUUGCUCAAAUAUACUUGAACCUGGAGAUGAGCACAUGGACAAAACAGAAACAGACUUC
Molecule: long non-coding RNA, 1223 nt
Organism: Fundulus heteroclitus (mummichog)
Lineage: Eukaryota; Metazoa; Chordata; Actinopteri; Cyprinodontiformes; Fundulidae
Exons: 3
Source: RefSeq, a predicted model, not a curated record